AGCAGUCGCCGCGGGAAUACAGAGGGUGCGAGCGUUAAUCGGAUUUACUGGGCGUAAAGCGUGCGUAGGCGGCUUUUUAAGUCGGAUGUGAAAUCCCUGAGCUUAACUUAGGAAUUGCAUUCGAUACUGGGAAGCUAGAGUAUGGGAGAGGAUGGUAGAAUUCCAGCUGUAGCGGUGAAAUGCGUAGAGAUCUGGAGGAAUACCGAUGGCGAAGGCAGCCAUCUGGCCUAAUACUGACGCUGAGGUACGAAAGCAUGGGGAGCAAACAGGAUUAGAUACCCGAGUAGUCCCUGUCUCUUAUAC
This 303-nucleotide ribosomal RNA is filed under the name uncultured bacterium. RNAcentral describes it as "partial 16S ribosomal RNA". It matches the Rfam family "Bacterial small subunit ribosomal RNA", at positions 507 to 807 of the family's 1533-position model. The record is from RNAcentral.